CUGACUGCUAUCGGAUUGAUACUAAGCCAUGCGAGUCUUUGCAGUAAUGCAAGGCAUACGGCUCAGUAACACGUAGUCAACCUACCCUACGGACGAGAAUAAUCUCGGGAAACUGAGCAUAAUUCUUGAUAGAUCAUAAUGCCUGGAAUGGUUUAUGGUUAAAAUGAUUCGUCGCCAUAGGAUGGGACUGCGGCCUAUCAGCUUGUUGGUGAGGUAAUGGCCCACCAAGGCGAUUACAGGUACGGGCUCUGAGAGGAGAAGCCCGGAGAUGGGUACUGAGACACGGACCCAGGCCCUAUGGGGCGCAGCAGGCGAGAAAACUUUGCAAUGUGCGAAAGCACGACAAGGUUAAUCCGAGUGAUUUCUGCUAAAGAAAUCUUUUACCAGUCAUAAAACCACUGGUGAAUAAGGGGUGGGCAAGUUCUGGUGUCAGCCGCCGCGGUAAAACCAGCACCUCAAGUGGUCAGGAUGAUUAUUGGGCCUAAAGCAUCCGUAGCCUGCUCUGUAAGUUUUCGGUUAAAUCUGUAUGCUCAACAUACAGGCCGCCGGGAAUACUGCAGAGCUAGGGAGUGGGAGAGGUAGACGGUACUCGGGAGGAAGUGGUAAAAUGCUUUGAUCUCUCGAUGACCACCUGUGGCGAAGGCGGUCUACCAGAACACGUCCGACGGUGAGGGAUGAAAGCUGGGGGAGCAAACCGGAUUAGAUACCCGGGUAGUCCCAGCUGUAAACUAUGCAAACUCAGUGAUGCAUUGGCUUGUGGCCAAUGCAGUGUUGCAGGGAAGCCGUUAAGUUUGCCGCCUGGGAAGUACGUACGCAAGUAUGAAACUUAAAGGAUUGGCGGGGAGCACCACAAGGGGUGAAGCCUGCGGUUCA
RNAcentral lists this ribosomal RNA (873 nucleotides) under uncultured marine group I thaumarchaeote. Its description in RNAcentral is "SSU rRNA". It matches the Rfam family "Archaeal small subunit ribosomal RNA", at positions 23 to 904 of the family's 1478-position model. The record is from RNAcentral. Lineage: Archaea; Thermoproteati; Nitrososphaerota.